CGUAGGGCAACCUGCCUCAUAGAGGGGAAUAGCCUUCCGAAAGGGAGAUUAAUACCGCAUAAGAUUGCAGCUUCGCAUGAAGUAGCAAUUAAAGGAGCAAUCCGCUAUGAGAUGGGCCCGCGGCGCAUUAGCUAGUUGGUGAGGUAACGGCUCACCAAGGCGACGAUGCGUAGCCGACCUGAGAGGGUGAUCGGCCACAUUGGGACUGAGACACGGCCCAGACUCCUACGGGAGGCAGCAG
Molecule: ribosomal RNA, 241 nt
Filed under: uncultured bacterium
Lineage: Bacteria
Description: partial 16S ribosomal RNA
Rfam family: Bacterial small subunit ribosomal RNA
Source: RNAcentral